UACGUAGGUGGCAAGCGUUAUCCGGAUUUAUUGGGCGUAAAGCGCGCGUAGGCGGCCGCCUAAGCGGAACCUCUAACCCCGGGGCUCAACCUCGGGCCGGGUUCCGGACUGGGCGGCUCGAGUGCGGUAGAGGAGAGCGGAAUUCCCGGUGUAGCGGUGGAAUGCGCAGAUAUCGGGAAGAACACCGAUGGCGAAGGCAGCUCUCUGGGCCGUCACUGACGCUGAGGCGCGAAAGCUGGGGGAGCGAACAGG
Molecule: ribosomal RNA, 252 nt
Filed under: uncultured bacterium
Lineage: Bacteria
Description: partial 16S ribosomal RNA
Rfam family: Bacterial small subunit ribosomal RNA
Source: RNAcentral